Molecule: ribosomal RNA, 650 nt
Filed under: uncultured bacterium
Lineage: Bacteria
Description: bacterial SSU rRNA
Rfam family: Bacterial small subunit ribosomal RNA
Source: RNAcentral
UGAUGCACCUAACGGAUUAAACAUUCCGCCUGGGGAGUACGGUCGCAAGAUUAAAACUCAAAGGAAUAGACGGGGACCCGCACAAGUGGUGGAGCAUGUGGUUUAAUUCGAAGAUACACGAAGAACCUUACCUGGCCUUGACAUUGAUAGAACCUGCCAGAGAUGGCGGGGUGCCUCUUUGAGGAGCUUGAAAACAGGUGCUGCACGGCUGUCGUCAGCUCGUGUCGUGAGAUGUUGGGUUAAGUCCCGCAACGAGCGCAACCCUCGUUCUUAGUUGCCAGCAGUUCGGCUGGCACUCUAAGGAGACUGCCUUCGCAAGGAGGAGGAAGGUGAGGACGACGUCAAGUCAUCAUGGCCCUUACGGCCAGGGCUACACACGUGCUACAAUGGGGCGUACAGAGUGUUGCGAUACCGCGAGGUGGAGCCAAUCACUUAAAGCGUCUCUCAGUUCGGAUUGUACUCUGCAACUCGAGUGCAUGAAGCUGGAAUCACUAGUAAUCGUAGAUCAGCCAAGCUACGGUGAAUACGUUCCCGGGUCUUGUACUCACCGCCCGUCACACCAUGGGAGUUGAUUUCACCAGAAAUCGGGAAGCUAAAGCAGCUACCGCUUACGGUGGGAUCAGCGACUGGGGUGAAGUCGUAACAAGGUA